AUUAGCUGAGGAGUUGUAAAUAGGACGAAACGUACGUCCUGGAU
This 44-nucleotide non-coding RNA is filed under the name Schistosoma margrebowiei. Lineage: Eukaryota; Metazoa; Platyhelminthes; Trematoda; Strigeidida; Schistosomatidae. The record is from RNAcentral.